GACGAACGCUGGCGGCGUGCCUAAUACAUGCAAGUAGAACGCUGAAGGAGGAGCUUGCUUCUCUGGAUGAGUUGCGAACGGGUGAGUAACGCGUAGGUAACCUGCCUGUUAGCGGGGGAUAACUAUUGGAAACGAUAGCUAAUACCGCAUAAUAGUAGAUGUUGCAUGACAUUUGCUUAAAAGGUGCAAUUGCAUCACUACCAGAUGGACCUGCGUUGUAUUAGCUAGUUGGUGGGGUAACGGCUCACCAACGCGACGAUACAUAGCCGACCUGAGAGGGGGAUCGGCCACCAUGGGACUGAGACAAGGCACAGGCUUCUACGGGAGGCAGCAGUAGGGAAACUUCCGCAAUGGACGGAAGUCUGACCGAGCAACGCGGCGUGAGUGAAGAAGGUUUUCGGAUCGUAAAGCUCUUUUGUAAGAGAAGAACGAGAGUGAGAGUGGAAAGUUCACACUGUGACGGUAUCUUACCAGAAAGCGACGGCUAACUACGUG
Molecule: ribosomal RNA, 495 nt
Filed under: uncultured bacterium
Lineage: Bacteria
Description: partial 16S ribosomal RNA
Rfam family: Bacterial small subunit ribosomal RNA
Source: RNAcentral